Paramuricea clavata is the source of this 261-nucleotide non-coding RNA. The record is from the annotation of a GenBank genome assembly. NCBI's taxonomy places the organism in Eukaryota, Metazoa, Cnidaria, Anthozoa, Malacalcyonacea, Plexauridae.
GCCUGAUGCAUGUUGUGGCCAGUUCUUGUACCAAGCAGAUGUACAAUGUUUUGCAACAGCCUUUGCAAGUUGUUUCUCAAUGUUAGGCCAAUUGUAUUAAUUGUCUGUAUACAUUUCUUUCAGUCUUGCACUUGUAUACUGUAUGUGGAUGCUUUCAAUGCCAAUUUCAAUCAAAAUACUUUCAUCAACUUUCUUUGUUGCAGCUUCUUUCAGUUUACCACCAUGUACUGUUUUCACAGAUACCAUUUUGUCCAGCUUUUU